GGCAGGAGGAGGCGGUGGUUGAGGGCAGAGACUAGCGCCCAUUAAUUUAACGGGCUGAAAAAUACUAGUCUAUUAUAUUAAUUCUCCCGGGUGUGCCUUGGAAUGUGCAUCCCAGAGCCCAGCUGAUUGGAUGGGCGGCGGAUGCUCCUGAUUGGCUGAGGCGCACCAAGGAGCAUUGGUUGCCACCACCGCCGGGGCCCGGCCACGGAAACCAGAGGCAAGAGGUCGUGCUUUACCGGCAUUCCCAUUGUAAGGCUUUCCCAUGCAACGGGAGACUGAAAAACAAAACUAACUUCACAAUGGGAGGUCUUGAUAAAAUCAUUUAUCAAGGGGACCAGAAUAUCCUGACACUGGACAUAGGCCUGCUUUGUUUUUCCAGCUCUGCAGGAAGCAAUCAGCAAAAGGACGGAGAACAACGCAAGGAUGCUGAACACCCCUGAUUGUAAGGGAACGGCCCGUAUUCUUCAUAAGGAUGACAGCUGCACGUAAGAGAACAGACCUUUCCUUUCAGAACAUCCCAAUCCAACAGCAAUCAAGAGAGCAGAUGCUGUAACUCCAGCAUGUACCUUAUUUUGCAAAUUCGGGCUUGAAAACCCACAUGACACUAAGAGGAAGAUUAAAGUCCUGGCACCUUAAAUGCCUGUUCACGUACAGGAGUGGGAAAAAUACAUCUAGUCCAGCAUUUAAGGACAGAGGCUUCAGAGUUAGUAUGAGAAACUUUUAGCUGCAAAGACAAAGCCCUGGAAAUAAUAAAUAUAACCACACCCAGUUUCCUUAUUUAGAAGAGAGGGCUAAGGUUUUUUUUAAAUUAUUAUUACAGUAGUUUUCUUGUGCUGAUAUCCCUUUAAACAGUAAAGCAGCAAAGCUUUCCAAAAGGUUGCUCACUGUCCAAAGCAAAAAGCCUGGGCUGUGCAAUUUAUCCAGCGUUCAACUUAAAUGACCUCAGAGAUUCAUGGUCUGAGGGAGGAGGUGGGACUCAUUUCAUGCCAAACAUUUCUGGAGGCAUCUGCCAGCGUCAAGUACAGGGGCUUGGAACGAGCACCAUUUCCCGGCAUGGAAGCGGCCUCAGUGGGCACCGGAGUUUCUUGGAAGAAGGCUGCUUGGCUGAAAGGAGCCAAGAGUUUAGAUUGCUCUCUCUGUCUCAACCCUGCAAGGCAGAGGCCAGGAAUGGAUGCCUGCCACAUAACAACACUGGAGAAUCCAUCUUCAGAUUUCUACCAUUAAAUGCAUCCUGCGAUCCUCUGACUCUACGAGGCACCAAAUGCAGCCAAGUUUCGCAAUCUAACAAGCCCAGCCAUCUGCAGAUCCUAUUCGGGUUUGCAGAGGUUAGCAGGACCUCAGCUGGGUCUAUAUAAAGAUUUGACCUAAGAUGACUCAAGAUAGCAUCAGCCUUUCAAAACACUGGGUGUCAGUGUUCACUCUAGCAGGGAUUCCCAGAUGCUGUUGACUACAACUCCCAGCAUCCCCAGAUGUAAUGGCCUUUGGCUGGGGAUUAUGGGGAUUGUAGUCCACAAUGUCUGGGAAUCCCUGUUAGAGGGAACAAUGCUGGUUGUACAUACUACAAGGGAACCACACACACUAACACAGGUUUUCUUUGGAUCUAAGAGCCAGACAAGGGGACACUUGACAAGAUUAUUGAACUUAGUGACAGACAUUGUGGAAGACGGGGGUAAACUGGCUUCUCUUUAUCCUCUUUACAAGUAACAUACUUAGAACAGAAACAGGACUGCCUCAGAAAAACAAAAGCUUUAUUAAAUAACUCUACCUCUGAAUAUCCUAGUCUAGAUGCCAGGUGUGUUGCUUAUCAUACUUAAGAAAUCUGAACCACUUCUUUCUAUUGGUACCGCUUUUUUCUACUGACAAACUUUAUUUCACCUUUUAAAAAGCAAAACAGCAGCUUUUCAUGGGACACUAUUGCCAACAACCAAGUUCAGAGUCACAAAAUAUUAAGCAAAUGAGCCACAUCAUUUCCGGAGUAAUAAAAGUGAGGGGCAGUUUUUUAGUGUAUCCUUCAAUCCAAAUCAAAAAAUGAGCUUCAAAUUCAUGCCUUGUAUUGUACCCCAAGGAUAGGCCAUGAUGAAACAUCUCUACCCCGGAGCAGCAGCUUAGAAGGCAGGACUGUAGUACAGAUAAAUUACCCGGUUCUCUCCAGCUACCGUGGCCUGAAGCACUGUGUUCCCUGAGAUCAGGGAAAGUUAUGGCAUGCAAUUAUCUUAAUUAUAUAUACAAGUAAGAACACACCAAUUACCUAUAGCCCUCAUGGCUCAGGCUGGCCUUCCAACACUCGUUCUCAGUCGAGAACAAGAGGUCCACACCUAUCACAGAACAUAAUGGACACCCAUUCUACAUCAGGACAUAUUGGUGACUCAAGGGGCUCCAAUUAGACAGGCUUCUCUCACACUUCCAAGCACUCAUUUCUUUUCCACCUGAAAUAUAAACAUCUUAAAUAAUCCCUGGGUUUUAAACAACCUUAAAAAAUGGAGGCUGGCAUGCAAAAAGCAUGCUCAUGGUUGGGGACCACCGACACCAACAGCAAGUUCGGAUUUGGUCCCUGCCAGGAAAGAGCACAUCAGAAAUAUUGCCUCUACCCAUCUGUGCACAGCGACUGACAUAAAGCAGCAUGAUGUCCAAAGGUCUUUGCUGGUACUCAGUACACAGAAAUAAAUGUGAGCAAGGUAUUUGCAACAA
Hemicordylus capensis (graceful crag lizard) is the source of this 2688-nucleotide long non-coding RNA. RefSeq lists it as uncharacterized. The record is from RefSeq and is a predicted model, not a curated record. Lineage: Eukaryota; Metazoa; Chordata; Lepidosauria; Squamata; Cordylidae. The transcript has 3 exons.